UACGUAGACCUCGAACGUUGUCCGGAUUCAUUGGGCGUAAAGCGUCCGCAGGUGGUCUGAAAAGUACGUGGUCAAAUCCUGGUGCUUAACAUCAGGACUGCCAUGUAAACUGGCAGACUUGAGGCUGGAAGAGGCAAGCGGAACAUACGGUGUAGUCGUAAUAAGCGCUGAUAUCGUAUGGAACACCAAAGGCGAAGGCAGCUUGCUGGUACAUGCCUGACACUCAUGGACGAAAGCGUGGGGAGCGAAUGGG
Molecule: unclassified non-coding RNA, 253 nt
Filed under: Patescibacteria group bacterium
Lineage: Bacteria
Description: contains 16S-23S intergenic spacer region
Rfam family: Bacterial small subunit ribosomal RNA
Source: RNAcentral